RNAcentral lists this long non-coding RNA (1276 nucleotides) under Bos indicus x Bos taurus (hybrid cattle). Its description in RNAcentral is "lncRNA (ENSBIXG00000000935.1)". The record is from RNAcentral. Lineage: Eukaryota; Metazoa; Chordata; Mammalia; Artiodactyla; Bovidae.
AUGGCCCUGUCAGGCCCAGCUCUGGAUGCGCUCUCCUUGAUAAGCCAAGUGGCAGGAGCUCGGCGGGGGCGGAAUUCAUCAUUGUGUCUUCUGUGUUUUCCACCAGCCAACUGCUUCCCAGGAGGUUGUGAGCUGAGCCAAAGCAAACUGGCAGGACAGCAAAGGUCCCAGGACGCUUUGUCUGUGGAGCCAAGACCAUUCCCUGGAGCUGGGUGCCGGCCUCCUGCCCCACAGGCCUCAUUCUCACGUCUUUCAGGCAGGGAGGGGGCUCGGUGAGAUGCCACAGAGGAGAGAGAGCGGCAUGGGGUCGUGCAACAUGCAAGAACAGGACCAAGGGGCAGCUUUGGGCCCCUGCACAUUGUAUGCAAAUCCUGAACUUUUGGGUUGGCCAAAAUAUUCCUUCAGGUUUCUCCAUAAGAUAGUAUGGAAAAAUCCAAAUGAACUUUUUGGCCAACCCAAUACUUUGUGAAGGAAAGAAAGCCCUUGUGAAAAAUGGUGGAACCUGAGUCUUUCUGUUUAGAAAUUCCACAGUCUGGUGUUCCAGGUGGUAGAGGACUAACUCUCCAGUCAUCAUGACCCUGAUCCGCUCCCCGCCCUAGUCAACAGCCUCUAACAGCUUCCAACAGCCUGGCCCCAUAAAGUGCAAACUAUCAUUCAGGACCCUUCAUGGACUGGCCGCAGCUUUAUCUCCCUCCCAGCCUAGAAUCACCCUCUUUCUGCUCUCCACCUUCAUCGUCUUUUAUCUGCACCCUCCUAGCAUACUUAUCACUUUCCACUGCAUAUUAUACUUGUUUUUAUGGGUCUUAUCACUCCUACUGGUCUAGUCUAUGAACCCCUUAAGGGCAGGGCCUAUGCUUAUCUUUGUACCCUGAGUUCUUAAAACGGUACAGGAUGUUGUGGGGUGCUCAGUAAAAAUUGUUGAAUUAAACCAAAAACCCUCCCCAAUGGCUGAGCUCAGCUUGAGAGACACAGCAAUGCUUCAAAUUUCCCAGUGUCCCAUGAGCAGGAAGGACACCUCCAGGCUAGCUUGGUGGAGAGCAUUUUAGACAGAAAUCUCAAGGCCCAAUCCUUCCCUUGCAUUUAACUUCUAAAAUUUAACAAUUUUAUUUUCAUUAAUUUUGGCAAUGCCACUGGGCAUGUGGGAUCUUAGUUCCCCAACCAGGGAUCGAACCCAAGCCUUGUGCAUUGGAAGUCUUAACUGCUGGACCACCAGAGAAAUCCCUCCCUUGCAUUUUAGAGAUCCAAGUACUGGGCUAGGGAUGGUGGAUAGUUUUCA